CAAUAGCGUAUAUUAAAGUUGUUGCAGUUAAAAAGCUCGUAGUUGGAUUUCUGGUGGGAGCGAUCGGUCUGGCGCUUAGCGCGAGUACUUGCAUCGUCUCCGGCCAUCCUUGGGGAGAGUCUGUCUGGCAUUAGGUUGUCGGGCAGAGGAUCCUCAUCGUUUACUGUGAAAAAAUUAGAGUGUUCAAAGCAGGCUUAUGCCGUUGAAUAUAUUAGCAUGGAAUAAUAAGAUAGGACUUUGGUACUACUUUGUUGGUUUGCGCACCAAAGUAAUGAUUAAUAGGGACAGUUGGGGGUAUUCGUAUUCCGUUGUCAGAGGUGAAAUUCUUGGAUUUACGGAAGACGAACUACUGCGAAAGCAUUUACCAAGGAUGUUUUCAUUAA
Molecule: ribosomal RNA, 383 nt
Filed under: uncultured eukaryote
Lineage: Eukaryota
Description: partial 18S ribosomal RNA
Rfam family: Eukaryotic small subunit ribosomal RNA
Source: RNAcentral